CUCCCCUUAUUUUAUCUGUGUACAAGGUUUAGUCACCAUGUAACCUCAAGAUUACAAAAUUUUCUAUAGAAAUCCCAAAUAAAAAAUAAUGGUGUUUUGAAAUACCCAAGACAUAUGUUUAUGACACAGAAAUGGUUUUACUGCAAUAAAAUGUAGGAUUAAUUACCUACAACUGUCAAAUUCAAGGGAAUAUUUUUUUCAACCUACUUUCGUAUACAACCGGAUGUGACGUACCAUGAUUUGGUGGUAUUACACCUUU
RNAcentral lists this long non-coding RNA (259 nucleotides) under Mytilus galloprovincialis (Mediterranean mussel). The record is from RNAcentral. Lineage: Eukaryota; Metazoa; Mollusca; Bivalvia; Mytilida; Mytilidae.